Daphnia pulex (common water flea) is the source of this 454-nucleotide long non-coding RNA. RefSeq lists it as uncharacterized. The transcript is spliced from 3 exons. Lineage: Eukaryota; Metazoa; Arthropoda; Branchiopoda; Diplostraca; Daphniidae. The record is from RefSeq and is a predicted model, not a curated record.
GAAUCAAAAUGUCCAGUUACUGGACGGAGCGUGGAGUCACACACGGUCGUCCAUCAUAUUCACUGCUGCAACAGACGGUGCUCUUUACCUGUGGGAUAUUCUCGCCCAGCGGAUCACUCCUACGUUAUGCUCCCAGGUCAGCGAAUCUCCGCUUUUAAGUUUGAGCACCCAGGAACACGGAAAAAUCAUGGCAGUUGGCAGCAAAGACGGACGGUUGUCCGUCAUUCAAAUAAGCGACAAUUUGUCGACAGUAACCAAAAACGAUAAAGUAGCGCUCACCUCGUUACUGGAACGAGAAAUCCGAAGAGAAAAGAAUUUGGAACAGCGGACUAAAGACAGCAAGAGUAAACAAGGACCCAAAACUUCCAUUUUCCACCUUGCGAUUGCAACAGUGACCCAAGCGGCCAAGUUGCUACGCAAGGCUCAUUGGGCGUUCAGAAACCUCCGUCUCCCA